AACUCACUGUCAGAGUGUGCUACUCACAGUCCACCUCGACUUAAAUAAUAUGAGCGCUGGUUUUCAUUUGCCUUCACAAUGAAAGGAAGGAACUUUUUCGCCUGCACAGUUGACUCAAAGGAGACAGUUCAAGGAGGACGAAGGCAAGGUUUUUGCUUCCCAAGAUGUUAUUUAAUGAACUGGAGUGGUGUGGAUUACUUGUGGAUUAUUGUGAUGUUUUAAUCAGCCGUUUGGUCUCUCAUUCUGACAACACCCAUUCACUGCACAGGAUCCAUUGGUGAACAAGUGAUGUAAUGAUAAAUGUCUCAACUCAUUUAUGUCUUGGAUCGUUUAAAGCUGCGGUGUAAGGUCAUUUUCGUGGAUAUAUGACAUCAGUUCACCUAAAGUUCACACAAGCUGUGUCCAAAAGCUGAAAAAUGGAGGUAGGAAGGCGAGAAUCCAAAUCCAGUGCUGGUGAAACAUCUCGUCUGCUAAGAUGACUCUGUCUGGGCAGCAGUGGGUCAAAUUGCUCCUGGGCCUCAGUCAUCUUCAUCAUCAUUUACUGAUCAUCUUCCUUCGGUCAUUUUCCAGCAUGAUCUUUCCAGAACCUGAUCCCCAACUAUUUUACAACAGAAUAAACCAUAUUAUCAUAGGAUUAAUGAAGCAAAAAUCUUGGAUUGCAAGAAGUGCACAGAGCAUGAAAGACAAUUAAAAGCCAUCAUUAAAGAGGCCAGAAAUUCCAAGUUGGUAUGGUUCGUGGUUUAACACUCCCCAUGCAGUAAAUAUGCCUUGAACUUAGUGCCAAAUUCAGUCAUUUGUGGAUAAAAUCCACACAAACAAUCCCCAUGUACAUCCUCUGACUCAUCGUGAGAUCAGCAACAACUCUGAAAGCUCUUCCAGGGGAAUAGAACUUUAUAAUAAUAAUAAUAAUAAUAACAAUAAUAAAUUUCCUGUCUCAUGUUUGUCAUUGAGGUUAGCAUUAUAUGAAUUUAUGGCCAUGCUUUAGUUGGGGGCUAAUUGUCACUAUUGACUACUUAUUAACUGCA
Onychostoma macrolepis is the source of this 1025-nucleotide long non-coding RNA. RefSeq lists it as uncharacterized. NCBI's taxonomy places the organism in Eukaryota, Metazoa, Chordata, Actinopteri, Cypriniformes, Cyprinidae. The record is from RefSeq and is a predicted model, not a curated record. The transcript is spliced from 4 exons.